CUCUGUUCUCUGUUUUCUGGCUGACUUCUUAUCAAACUGUUGAGAGGCCAAAGGCAACACUGGUGUUUAAUUACAAGCAACAUGGAUUGUGGAUAUAAGAAAGCAGCAGUAGCAGGAAGCCUGUAAGCUGUCAACCUCAGAAACAGGAAAGAAUCUUCUGCCUAGAAACAGAACUUAUGAUUGAUAUGAAUGUAGGAAACUAGGGUGCUCCUUAAAUUUUUUAGUUGGAAAAGCUGGGAGAGGGGAAAAAAGAAAAAGAACCAAAAAUGGGUGAGAAAAUAUUGAAGUAGAAAAAGAAAGAUAAACCUUAAGAGCAGCUCUUGCACAUGUUUUGCUAUGUGCUACCUGUGGGUAGCCUAUAUACCUAUGUAGGGUAGGGUUUAAGAUGGUAAAGAGAAUAGUUAAUAGUUCUGGCAUUCUCUUUGCCUGCCUCGUAGAGCGAGCUGCAGGCUUCGGUUGCCUCUUAAAGGACUAAAACUGGGUUUGCUUCCUUGACAUGAUCUAGUGUUGCUGGUUCAUUUUCUAGAGGUCAAAGCAAGAUCAUGACACUUCACAAGGGCUGAGCUUUUUAGUCUGUUUCAGGGCAAAGGAUUUGGGGGAAAAAAAGAGAAGAGUAUCAUAAUGAAGCUGUGACAUGACAACUGUGUCUAUAAGCCUGAAGAUCAUUUGACUGUGCCCAUAGGGGAGACGAUUUACAAAGCUUUUUGAUCCAGAGAAGUAACUACAGUCCUAUACCACAUGAAAGAAAAGGAUCUUCUGGCAUUAUAUCUAGAAAAAGUCCGAAGUGCCUGAAUUUAACCUAAUGUUCCUUGUCAGGAAGCCAGAAUUUACAAAUUCCAGAACACUUCUUGCAGUAUGUGUUUUACCCUGAAUGUUUAUGGGCCAGUGAAAUUCUACACCUGCACAUCUGAGAGGCCUUGAGCCACUCUCAGGUAACAAUAGAUAGAGGCAGAAGUGCUGUGCCAAAAAGACAUGAUGGUAGAGCACUAUCUUACCUUUUUACAAAUAUUUAAAACGCCACAUUGUCUGAGAAGAAAAGCCAAAUUAAAUAUUACCUAACCCUACAGUGCUUUAGCACUGGUCACAGAUGUCCUAGAAGAGAACACGCCGAGGUGCUUCAUGGCCACAAAGCAAAUGUGUUACUCUUGAUAGUAAAACCACAGCUGGAAGAAGUUCAAACUGGAGUUUGAAGUUAAUACACAAGUUAAUGUGAAAUGCAGCUGUGCAACGUUUCUAGAGUACUAGUACCAGAGAGGAUGUUUCAAUGAAGGGGUGACCUCCAAAGGUCUCAAGGACCAAUGCAUUUAACUACACAGAAGUGAGUCAAGAAAGAGGAACUGUAAAAGCAAAAUAAACAGUGGUCCUGCAAAUUCAUUCCUUGUAUAUGUCAAAUUACUUCUGUUCGUCAUCAUUUUAGGAGCUUGUGGGGUUUUUUAUUUUUAUAUGUGAUAAGAGAGGCCUGCUUCUGCAUUCUGCUUGAGUGUUACCUUCAAAACAUGAAUGCUGAUUCCCAAACUACAGUUUCUUUCCUUAAGUGGCAUUGAAAACCAAGAAAGAGCAAACCCAGAAGCAAGAGAGAGUGGAACUCACAGACUGACAAUAUUUGAUCUUGUCUACCUUUACUGGAUCAUUGUUUGUA
Corapipo altera (White-ruffed manakin) is the source of this 1639-nucleotide long non-coding RNA. RefSeq lists it as uncharacterized. Lineage: Eukaryota; Metazoa; Chordata; Aves; Passeriformes; Pipridae. The record is from RefSeq and is a predicted model, not a curated record. The transcript has 5 exons.